RNAcentral lists this long non-coding RNA (551 nucleotides) under Homo sapiens (human). Its description in RNAcentral is "non-protein coding lnc-SULF2-6:1". Lineage: Eukaryota; Metazoa; Chordata; Mammalia; Primates; Hominidae. The record is from RNAcentral.
CUCGUGCCUCAGCUUCCCGAGUACCUGGGACCACAGGCAUGUGCCACCACACCCAGCUAAUUUUGUAUUUUUAGUAGAGAUGGGGUUUCAUCAUGUUGGCCAUGUUGGCCAAGCUGGUCUUGAACUCCUGACCCCAGACAAUCUGCCCACCUCGGCCUCCCAAAGUGCUGGGAUUAUAGGCGUGAGCCACCACGCCCAGUCCUAACUCAUUUUGCAGAGUCAGACCUUUGCCAGCGGAUUCACUCUCAUUUAGCAGAGGGAAGUCUCUGUUUGUCCUCUUCUCUCCAGGUUCCCUGCCUCGGCUCCUGUGUGAGCUUCCAAGGGCUGGUCUCAGGGGUGAGAAUCAAAAUGUCUAACCACAGGCCCUGACUCAUCAGCCCAGAUGCCUGCUGUAAACAACCAGAGCUUUUUCCAGGCAAAUGUUGACCUAGCUGGUCUCACACAGGGCAGCAUCAGCACUUCCAAGAAGUUCUCCCAGGGGCAUUGUGCUUGGAGACAGUUUCUGUGUGAGCCUGUGAACAGCCAGUGGUGCUUAAAAUCAUGGGCCUCUG